GAUGAACGCUAGCUACAGGCUUAACACAUGCAAGUCGAGGGGCAGCAUUAUCUUAGCUUGCUAAGAUAGAUGGCGACCGGCGCACGGGUGAGUAACACGUAUCCAACCUUCCGGUUACUUGGGGAUAGGCUUUCGAAAGAAAGAUUAAUACCCGAUGUUGCGUAUCUUUCUCCUGAAAGAUACGCCAAAGGAUUCCGGUAACCGAUGGGGAUGCGUUCCAUUAGGCAGUUGGCGGGGUAACGGCCCACCAACCUUACGAUGGAUAGGGGUUCUGAGAGGAAGGUCCCCCACAUUGGAACUGAGACACGGUCCAA
This 314-nucleotide ribosomal RNA is filed under the name uncultured bacterium. Its description in RNAcentral is "bacterial SSU rRNA". It matches the Rfam family "Bacterial small subunit ribosomal RNA", at positions 28 to 334 of the family's 1533-position model. The record is from RNAcentral.